GGUGGUUGGACUCUUUCUUGUUCUCUGCCUUCCUCAAGUGUCAGUGCUUCAGAAUUAAAAAACAUCAACAGUCUUACCCGAAUCUCUUCAGCCGGAAACACACAGACAACAUGGACUACAUUGCACCUGGCCGGAAACACUAUCCAGCCUUUAAGCCAGCCACCAUCUUCUGCUUCGACUCCAGCAUUAAACGAGUGUGGUACCAGCCCUACCCCAAGCAACCACAAGCAUAUGGCUACAGGGAUCACCUUCAACAAUUCUCCUCCAACAGAUGGGCAGCCAGUUGAGCAGAUAGUGGUAACUUUGCCUUCGUGCCCACCCUUACCUAUGCAACCACUAAUUGCUCAACCACAAGUUAAAUCUCAGCCUCCAAAAAA
This 377-nucleotide long non-coding RNA is filed under the name Rattus norvegicus (Norway rat). Its description in RNAcentral is "long non-coding RNA NONRATT006997". The record is from RNAcentral. Lineage: Eukaryota; Metazoa; Chordata; Mammalia; Rodentia; Muridae.